GACGAACGCUGGCGGCGUGCUUAACACAUGCAAGUCGAGCGGAAAGGCCCCUUCGGGGGUACUCGAGCGGCGAACGGGUGAGUAACACGUGAGCAACCUGCCCCUGACACUGGGAUAAGCCUGGGAAACCGGGUCUAAUACCGGAUAUGACCUGCCUCCGCAUGGGGGUGGGUGGAAAGGUUGGCCCGUUUGGGUCUUCCGGUCAGGGAUGGGCUCGCGGCCUAUCAGCUUGUUGGUGGGGUGACGGCCUAUCAAGGCGAUGACGGGUAGCCGGCCUGAGAGGGUGGUCGGCCACACUGGGACUGAGACACGGCCCAGACUCCUACGGGAGGCAGCAGUGGGGAAUAUUGCGCAAUGGGCGGAAGCCUGACGCAGCGACGCCGCGUGAGGGAAGAAGGCCUUCGGGUUGUAAACCUCUUUUACCACUCACGAAGGCCCCUGGUUUUCUGGGGGUUGACGGUAGGUGGUGAAUAAAGACCGGCUAACUACGUG
This 492-nucleotide ribosomal RNA is filed under the name uncultured bacterium. RNAcentral describes it as "bacterial SSU rRNA". It matches the Rfam family "Bacterial small subunit ribosomal RNA", at positions 28 to 507 of the family's 1533-position model. The record is from RNAcentral.